GCCCACGUAGCUCAGAUGGUAGAGCGCAUCCUUGGUAAGGAUGAGGUCACCGGUUCAAUUCCGGUCGUGGGCU
RNAcentral lists this transfer RNA (73 nucleotides) under Desulfopila aestuarii DSM 18488. It matches the Rfam family "tRNA". From Rfam's summary of the family: Transfer RNA (tRNA) molecules are approximately 80 nucleotides in length. Their secondary structure includes four short double-helical elements and three loops (D, anti-codon, and T loops). Further hydrogen bonds mediate the characteristic L-shaped molecular structure. tRNAs have two regions of fundamental functional importance: the anti-codon, which is responsible for specific mRNA codon recognition, and the 3' end, to which the tRNAs corresponding amino acid is attached (by aminoacyl-tRNA synthetases). tRNAs cope with the degeneracy of the genetic code in two manners: having more than one tRNA (with a specific anti-codon) for a particular amino acid; and 'wobble' base-pairing, i.e. permitting non-standard base-pairing at the 3rd anti-codon position. Lineage: Bacteria; Pseudomonadati; Thermodesulfobacteriota; Desulfobulbia; Desulfobulbales; Desulfocapsaceae. The record is from Rfam by way of RNAcentral.